This 536-nucleotide ribosomal RNA is filed under the name Bifidobacterium pseudocatenulatum. RNAcentral's name for it is "bacterial SSU rRNA". It matches the Rfam family "Bacterial small subunit ribosomal RNA", at positions 162 to 710 of the family's 1533-position model. The record is from RNAcentral. Lineage: Bacteria; Bacillati; Actinomycetota; Actinomycetes; Bifidobacteriales; Bifidobacteriaceae.
GGUAAUGCCGGAUGCUCCGACUCCUCGCAUGGGGUGUCGGGAAAGAUUUCAUCGGUAUGGGAUGGGGUCGCGUCCUAUCAGGUAGUCGGCGGGGUAACGGCCCACCGAGCCUACGACGGGUAGCCGGCCUGAGAGGGCGACCGGCCACAUUGGGACUGAGAUACGGCCCAGACUCCUACGGGAGGCAGCAGUGGGGAAUAUUGCACAAUGGGCGCAAGCCUGAUGCAGCGACGCCGCGUGCGGGAUGACGGCCUUCGGGUUGUAAACCGCUUUUGAUCGGGAGCAAGCCUUCGGGUGAGUGUACCUUUCGAAUAAGCACCGGCUAACUACGUGCCAGCAGCCGCGGUAAUACGUAGGGUGCAAGCGUUAUCCGGAAUUAUUGGGCGUAAAGGGCUCGUAGGCGGUUCGUCGCGUCCGGUGUGAAAGUCCAUCGCUUAACGGUGGAUCUGCGCCGGGUACGGGCGGGCUGGAGUGCGGUAGGGGAGACUGGAAUUCCCGGUGUAACGGUGGAAUGUGUAGAUAUCGGAAAAAAAACA